Molecule: non-coding RNA, 86 nt
Organism: Pseudonaja textilis
Lineage: Eukaryota; Metazoa; Chordata; Lepidosauria; Squamata; Elapidae
Source: RefSeq, a predicted model, not a curated record
AAGGCGUGAGCUUAUCUCAGAGAAUUGUGUCUUAAUGAGUUUUGGCUGGGAAUGCAAGACAUUCCCAGCAUUCCUGGGGAGUAGAA